RNAcentral lists this ribosomal RNA (468 nucleotides) under uncultured bacterium. Its description in RNAcentral is "partial 16S ribosomal RNA". It matches the Rfam family "Bacterial small subunit ribosomal RNA", at positions 28 to 507 of the family's 1533-position model. The record is from RNAcentral.
GACGAACGCUGGCGGCGUGCUUAACACAUGCAAGUCGAACGGAAAGGCCCUGCUUUUGUGGGGUGCUCGAGUGGCGAACGGGUGAGUAACACGUGAGUAACCUGCCCUUGACUUUGGGAUAACUUCAGGAAACUGGGGCUAAUACCGGAUAGGAGCUCCUGCUGCAUGGUGGGGGUUGGAAAGUUUCGGCGGUUGGGGAUGGACUCGCGGCUUAUCAGCUUGUGGGUGGGGUAGUGGCUUACCAAGGCUUUGACGGGUAGCCGGCCUGAGAGGGUGACCGGCCACAUUGGGACUGAGGUACGGCCCAGACUCCUACGGGAGGCAGCGGUGGGGAAUAUUGCACAAUGGGCGGAAGCCUGAUGCAGCAACGCCGCGUGCGGGAUGACGGCCUUCGGGUUGUAAACCGCUUUCGCCUGUGACGAAGCGUGAGUGACGGUAAUGGGUAAAGAAGCACCGGCUAACUACGUG